UAUGUGAUCGUCUCUCGCAUAUCAAUAAGCGGAGGAAAAGAAACUAACAAGGAUUCCCCUAGUAACGGCGAGUGAAGCGGGAAGAGCUCAAAUUUGAAAUCUUAAAGGGUUUCCCUUUACGAAUUGUAGUUUAAAGAAGUGUUUUCUGUUGAGGUUUUGGUAAAAGUUCUUUGGAAUAGGACAUCAUAGAGGGUGAGAAUCCCGUAUUUGACCUUUACUUUCAACUUUGUGAUACACUUUCAAAGAGUCGGAUUGUUUGGGAAUGCAGUCCAAAAUGGGUGGUAAAUUUCAUCUAAAGCUAAAUAUUGGCGAGAGACCGAUAGCGAACAAGUACCGUGAGGGAAAGAUGAAAAGAACCUUGAAAAGAGAGUUAAACAGUACGUGAAAUUGUCAAAAGGGAAGCGUUUGACACCAGUGUUGUUUUUCUGAAAAUCAAUUAAAGAACUGUUUAUGCUAAGUUGUUUAGACUUUAUCAGCUAACUGUUUAGUUUUGAGCUUUUCUUUAAUGCACUUUUCAGUUAACAAGUCAACAUCAAUUUCUUUUGCUGUAAAAAAGCUUGAGGAAGGUGGCUUGAGAUUCGUCUUAAGUGUUUAUAGCCUCUUGCCUAUGCAGUCGGAGAGAUUGAGGUCUGCAGCGUAGAUCCUUCGGGGCUAAAUGCAUUUGUGCUAAGUUAUAGCAUUUUAUAGACAACUUGUUGACUAUGAUUUGUCUUGUAGCUUACUCGCUUAUGUUAUUUUACCUACGCUUAGGAUGUUGAGUAGCGACAUACGCAC
RNAcentral lists this ribosomal RNA (774 nucleotides) under uncultured Neocallimastigales. RNAcentral describes it as "partial large subunit ribosomal RNA". It matches the Rfam family "Eukaryotic large subunit ribosomal RNA", at positions 24 to 649 of the family's 3401-position model. The record is from RNAcentral. Lineage: Eukaryota; Fungi; Neocallimastigomycota; Neocallimastigomycetes; Neocallimastigales.